RNAcentral lists this ribosomal RNA (440 nucleotides) under uncultured bacterium. Its description in RNAcentral is "partial 16S ribosomal RNA". It matches the Rfam family "Bacterial small subunit ribosomal RNA", at positions 338 to 795 of the family's 1533-position model. The record is from RNAcentral.
CCUACGGGUGGCAGCAGUAGGGAAUAUUGCACAAUGGGGGAAACCCUGAUGCAGCAACGCCGCGUGGAGGAUGAAGUUUUUCGGUUUGUAAACCUCUAUUGUCAGAGAAGAAAAUGACGGUAUCUAACGAAUAAGCACCGGCUAACUCCGUGCCAGCAGCCGCGGUAAUACGGAGGGUGCAAGCGUUACUCGGAUUUACUGGGUGUAAAGGGCGCGUAGGCGGGAUAGCAAGUCAGAUGUGAAAUGCUAUGGCUUAACCAUAGAACUGCAUUUGAAACUGUUAAUCUAGAGUACAGGAGAGGUAGGUGGAAUUCUUGGUGUAGCGGUAAAAUGCGUAGAGAUUAGGAGGAAUACUCGUGGCGAAGGCGACCUGCUGGAACGUAACUGACGCUGAGGCGCGAAAGCGUGGGGAGCAAACAGGAUUAGAUACCCGUGUAGUC